This is a long non-coding RNA of Chinchilla lanigera (long-tailed chinchilla), 608 nucleotides long. RefSeq lists it as uncharacterized. The record is from RefSeq and is a predicted model, not a curated record. The transcript has 4 exons. NCBI's taxonomy places the organism in Eukaryota, Metazoa, Chordata, Mammalia, Rodentia, Chinchillidae.
CUUGACUGCUUGAGGCACUCUGGCUCUGUCCCGCCCUCACAUGUGCCACCCAUAUCCAGCUCCAGCGGUUUCCAACACUUGUACUUCAAGGGUCCUUGAUGCCAGCCUGUCCUUUGAUUCCGGGUGCCACUGGUUUCUCAAGCUGCUGAUGUCCACGCGGGGAGAAGGGUUAUCUGCUGACUCCCCAGCACCUACUACAGAAUCUUCUGAACACAGCCUCCAGAAAUACAAGGAUGAUGAUGAUGAUAAUAACAACAAUAACAGUAAUAAUGCUGUUUGAUUUUCCAGUGAAGAAAUACGUGACAGCAGAGGAAGAAAGCCAGAAAAAUACAUUGGAAUCACUGUGUACAGAUGUUCUGCUGUCUUUCCUGUGCUGCUGGCUCAAGGCUGCAACCCUGCAGCCUGGCAUCAUGCAGAAGCCACACAGUUGAGGAGCUGAUGUCCUUGAAGAGCUGUAUGGAAGAAAAUCCACCAGCCCAGCAGACUCACCCAAGCAAGAAGUAAACUCCACUAUGUGUAUGGGCCCAGCAACCCUGGAACUGCAUCUACCUUGGCAGAUAAAGUUGAAUUCAUAAUUUUGUAGUCAUCAGGCUUCAAAAUUACAGCCA